Molecule: long non-coding RNA, 2239 nt
Filed under: Homo sapiens (human)
Lineage: Eukaryota; Metazoa; Chordata; Mammalia; Primates; Hominidae
Description: HSALNT0346362
Source: RNAcentral
AUUACAAGAGCACCUCCUCCCCCAACCCCAGGAGGCCCCGCUCCCCAGGCCUCGGCCGGCGCGGACCCCUGGUUGCCCCGGGGUCGAGAGCAGCCGGGGAGAGCUGAGUUCAGAGCCCAGAGUUGGACAUCAGGCCACACGCUGAGAGGGUAGUAAAUGAAAGGGAGUCCGGUUUAGUCGCGGGCAGGGCAUCUCCUCUUCUGCUUGUCUAAAAGUCGCUGGGUGCAGGGGAAGCAAUACUAAGCGGGAAUUUCUUUUUAGUGGCAUCUACACAAUUUGCCUUUCCUGGUUUUUGUUUUGUUUUGUUUUGUUUCCUAAGGAGGGGGAGGCUCUGUAGAGGAAGCUUCGGCCCUGGGUGCCCCUGGGUUGGGAGCAGUCGGGGAGCGCUGAGCCAGGGCGCACGCCCUGUCGGCGCUGCGGGUGUGGGGCGCAGGAGUCCUUCUGGCCGGCCCCUCCGCCCCCCGGGGAGGCUGGAGCUCUCCAAGGCCGGGGAGCCUCCCGAAGCGCGCUGCCCCCUCUGUUCUCCGCGUGCUUUCACUAGGGCCCCAUGCUGCUUAGUGGCCGAUUUGCAGGGAAUCUGGGCACAAUCUUAAUAACACCAGGGCCAAAAAUAACAACGUUCCUGGGAACCGAGCAGCUGGAGCGCACCCCAUGGACGCUGGGCCAUCUCCCCGGGGACUAGUGCCUGACAGAGCUGACAGAGUUCUAGGCCACAUGUGGGCUAGAAGGAACCGCCAUGUCUACCACAGCACAGUCCUUAAGCAGGAGCCUUUUGAAGCACUUGGACUCAAAACAAUGGCUGUUUGUUGUUGUUGUUGUUGUUGUUUGUUUGUUUUGAGGGAGCCAGAAAGCUAAAAAAUGUAAAAGAAGCAGGUCACAUUAGACAUGAUUUCAGACAGCCUCCCCGAAGGACAGAUGAUCUCACUUGGCAACACAUACUGGGCCAGGCUCACUCAUGAGGGGGCAGCGUGGCAUGCACCCCACUCAGGGGCAAGAAUGAAGCUUAAAUAUUAGCUGACUCAGAACAUAGCAAGUGCUCAGUAAUGGCUUCUGGAACGAACCCGUGGUUGUCACCAGCAGGAGUGACGAAAGCUAGAAGCCGUUUCACCAUCCAAGGAAGAGGAGGAACAAUAUUUUUCUCUUUGGAGUUCCCACACUCAGAAGAGAGAACACCAGCAUAUGAACACAGAGUGUCACAUGAUGUAGGAAACAUCCUAUCCAGUCAUUGUGAAGAAACGGAGGCACGGGGAGAUUAAGAGAGCUACUUAAGAAGACACGGUGCCAGGUUUCUACCCAAGCCAUUUGGAUCUAGGGUCUGGAGGCCAUGUGAGCCAUUUUGCAUUAGAUUAACGCUUUAAUUCAGUUCACAGUUAGACAAUAUACGUUCCCCAUCUAUAUCUAUACCCAUCUGGAAGGCAACAAAAAGAUAAUAAACUGAUAGUGUCAUGUGCCCAUGACCCAGCUAACAAAGAGGCUCUGGGUUCCAAUGCCCCAGUCUUUCAUGGGAUUCCAUCGACCUCAUGCCCUGCUCCCCUCCCCAACAGAGAUGGAAACAUUAUCCUGAAUUUUGUGUUUAUCAUCCCUUGUUUCUCUCUAUAGUUUUUCCACUUAUGGUUGUAUGAUUUUUGUUUGUUUGUUUUUUGAGACGGCAUCUCGCUCUGUCACCAGGCUGGAGUGCAGUGGCGUGAUCUCGGCUCUACCUCCCAGGUUCAAGCCAUCCUCCUGCCUCAUCCUCCCGAGUAGCUGGGACUACAGGCACACGCCACCAUGCCCAGCUAAUUUUUGUAUUUUUAGUAGAGACGGGGUUUCACCUUAUGGUUGUAUCUUUAAACAAUGUCUUGUUUAGUUUUGCCAUGUUUUUGGACUGUGAAUAAGUAGAAUUAUUAUGCUGUGUGAAUUCUUCUGCUACUUGCAUUUUUGCUGCAACGUCAUGUUCCUGAAAUUCAGCCAGGAUUCAUUUAUUCCUUUUCACUGCUGUGUGAUAUCCCAUUGUAGGCAAAUAGUACACAAUAUUUAUUUAUUUUCCAGAUGGGAUCUCAUUCUGUCACCCAGGCUUGUAGUGCAGUGACCCCAUCACGAUUCACUGCAGCCUUGAACUCCUGGGCUCAAGCAAUCCUCCUGCCUCAGCCUCCUGAGUUGCUAAGGCCACAAAUAUUUAUCCAUUUUACUGCUAAUGCAAUUUGAGCUGUUUUCAACUUUUUCCUAUUAAAACAUUAUUGCUAUGAACAUUCUUAUAAAA